ACUGCAGCGCCAACGUCCGAGCGGGCGGCCGAGCUCCCGGAGCGGCCUGGCCCCGAGCCCCGAGCGGGCGUCGCUCAGCAGCAGGUCGCGGCCGCAGCCCCAUCCAGCCCCGCGCCCGCCAUGCCGUCCGCCGGCCCCGCCUGAGCCGCGGCCUCCGCGCGCGGGCGGGCCUGGGGACGGCGGGGCCAUGCGCGCGCUGCCCUAACGAUGCCGCCCGCCGCGCCCGCCCGCCUGGCGCUGGCCCUGGGCCUGGGCCUGUGGCUCGGGGCGCUGGCGGGGGGCCCCGGGCGCGGCUGCGGGCCUUGCGAGCCCCCCUGCCUCUGCGGCCUAGCGCCCGGCGCCGCCUGCCGCGUCAACUGCUCGGGCCGCGGGCCGCGGGCUGCGGACGCUCGGUCCCGCGCUGCGCAUCCCCGCGGACGCCACAGCGCUAGACGUCUCCCACAACCUGCUCCGGGCGCUGGACGUUGGGCUCCUGGCGAACCUCUCGGCGCUGGCAGAGCUGGAUAUAAGCAACAACAAGAUUUCUACGUUAGAAGAAGGAAUAUUUGCUAAUUUAUUUAAUUUAAGUGAAAUAAACCUGAGUGGGAACCCGUUUGAGUGUGACUGUGGCCUGGCGUGGCUGCCGCGAUGGGCGGAGGAGCAGCAGGUGCGGGUGGUGCAGCCCGAGGCAGCCACGUGUGCUGGGCCUGGCUCCCUGGCUGGCCAGCCUCUGCUUGGCAUCCCCUUGCUGGACAGUGGCUGUGGUGAGGAGUAUGUCGCCUGCCUCCCUGACAACAGCUCAGGCACCGUGGCAGCAGUGUCCUUUUCAGCUGCCCACGAAGGCCUGCUUCAGCCAGAGGCCUGCAGCGCCUUCUGCUUCUCCACCGGCCAGGGCCUCGCAGCCCUCUCCGAGCAGGGCUGGUGCCUGUGUGGGUCAGCCCAGCCCUCCAGUGCCUCCUUCGCCUGCCUGUCCCUCUGCUCCGGCCCCCCGCCGCCUCCUGCCCCCACCUGUAGGGGCCCCACCCUCCUCCAGCACGUCUUCCCUGCCUCCCCAGGGGCCCCCCUGGUGGGGCCCCACGGACCCCUGGCCUCCGGCCAGCUAGCAGCCUUCCACAUCGCUGCCCCGCUCCCUGUCACUGCCACACGCUGGGACUUCGGAGACGGCUCCCCCGAGGUGGAUGCCGCUGGGCCGGCUGCCUCGCAUCGCUAUGUGCUGCCUGGGCGCUAUCACGUGACGGCCGUGCUGGCCCUGGGGACCGGCUCAGCCCUGCUGGGGACAGACGUGCAGGUGGAAGCGGCACCUGCCGCCCUGGAGCUCGUGUGCCCGUCCUCGGUGCAGAGUGACGAGAGCCUCGACCUCAGCAUCCAGAACCGCGGUGGUUCAGGCCUGGAGGCCGCCUACAGCAUCGUGGCCCUGGGCGAGGAGCCGGCCCGAGCGGUGCACCCGCUCUGCCCCUCGGACACGGAGAUCUUCUCUGGCAAUGGGCACUGCUACCGCCUGGUGGUGGAGAAGGCGGCCUGGCUGCAGGCGCAGGAGCAGUGUCGGGCCUGGGCCGGGGCCACCCUGGCAAUGGUGGACAGUCCCGCCGUGCAGCGCUUCCUGGUCUCCCGGGUCACCAGGAGCCUAGACAUGUGGAUCGGCUUCUCGACUGUGCAGGGGGUGGAGGUGGGCCCAGCGCCGCAGGGCGAGGCCUUCAGCCUGGAGAGCUGCCAGAACUGGCUGCCCGGGGAGCCACACCCAGCCACAGCCGAGCACUGCGUCCGGCUCGGGCCCACCGGGUGGUGUAACACCGACCUGUGCUCAGCGCCGCACAGCUACGUCUGCGAGCUGCGGCCUGGAGGCCCAGUGCAGGAUGCCGAGAACCUCCUCGUGGGAGCGCCCAGUGGGGACCUGUAGGGACCCCUGAUGCCUCUGGCACGGCAGGACGGCCUCUCAGCCCCGCACGAGCCCGUGGAGGUCAUGGUAUUCCCGGGCCUGCGUCUGAGCCGUGAAGCCUUCCUCACCACGGCCGAAUUUGGGACCCAGGAGCUCCGGCGGCCCGCCCAGCUGCGGCUGCAGGUGUACCGGCUCCUCAGCACAGCAGGGACCCCGGAGAACGGCAGCGAGCCUGAGAGCAGGUCCCCGGACAACAGGACCCAGCUGGUCCCCGCGUGCAUGCCAGGGGGACGCUGGUGCCCUGGAGCCAACAUCUGCUUGCCGCUGGACGCCUCCUGCCACCCCCAGGCCUGCGCCAAUGGCUGCACGUCAGGGCCAGGGCUACUCGGGUCCCCCUAUGCGCUAUGGAGAGAGUUCCUCUUCUCCGUUCCCGCGGGGCCCCCCGCGCAGUACUCGGUCACCCUCCACGGCCAGGAUGUCCUCAUGCUCCCUGGUGACCUCGUUGGCUUGCAGCACGACGCUGGCCCUGGCGCCCUCCCGCACUGCUCGCCGGCUCCCGGCCACCCUGGUCCCCAGGCCCCGUACCUCUCCGCCAACGCCUCGUCAUGGCUGCCCCACUUGCCAGCCCAGCUGGAGGGCACUUGGGCCUGCCCUGCCUGUGCCCUGCGGCUGCUUGCAGCCACGGAACAGCUCACCGUGCUGCUGGGCCUGAGGCCCAACCCUGGGCUGCGGCUGCCUGGGCGCUAUGAGGUCCGGGCAGAGGUGGGCAAUGGCGUGUCCAGGCACAACCUGUCCUGCAGCUUUGACGUGGUCUCCCCAGUGGCUGGGCUGCGGGUCAUCUACCCUGCCCCCCGCGACGGCCGCCUCUACGUGCCCACCAACGGCUCAGCCUCGGUGCUCCAGGUGGACUCUGGUGCCAGCGCCACGGCCACGGCUCGCUGGCCUGGGGGCAGUGUCAGCGCCCGCUUUGAGAAUGCCUGCCCUGCCCUGGUGGCCACCUUCGUGCCCAGCUGCCCCUGGGAGACCAAUGAUACCCUGUUCUCAGUGGUAGCACUGCCGUGGCUCGGUGAGGGGGAGCACGUGAUGGACGUUGUGGUGGAAAACAGCGCCAGCCGGGCCAACCUCAGCCUGCGGGUGACGGCGGAGGAGCCCAUCUGUGGCCUCCGCGCCACGCCCAGCCCCGAGGCCCGUGUACUGCAGGGAGUCCCAGUGAGGUACAGCCCCGUGGUGGAGGCCGGCUCGGACAUGGUCUUCCGGUGGACCAUCAACGACAAGCAGUCCCUGACCUUCCAGAACGUGGUCUUCAAUGUCAUUUAUCAGAGCGCGGCGGUCUUCAAGCUCUCACUGACGGCCUCCAACCACGUGAGCAACGUCACCGUGAACUACAACAUCACCGUGGAGCGGAUGAACAGGAUGCAGGGCCUGCGGGUCUCUACAGUGCCAGCCGUGCUGUCCCCCAAUGCCACGCUGGCACUGACGGCGGGCGUGCUGGUGGACUCGGCCGUGGAGGUGGCCUUCCUGUGGACCUUUGGGGAUGGGGAGCAGGCCCUCCACCAGUUCCAGCCUCCGUACAACGAGUCCUUCCCGGUUCCAGACCCCUCGGUGGCCCAGGUGCUGGUGGAGCACAAUGUCACCCACACCUACGCUGCCCCAGGUGCUGAUCCGCAGUGGCCGGGUGCCCAUUGUGUCCUUGGAGUGUGUGUCCUGCAAGGCACAGGCCGUGUACGAAGUGAGCCGCAGCUCCUACGUGUACCUGGAGGGCCGCUGCCUCAAUUGCAGCAGCGGCUCCAAGCGAGGGCGGUGGGCUGCACGUACGUUCAGCAACAAGACGCUGGUGCUGGAUGAGACCACCACAUCCACGGGCAGCGCAGGCAUGUGACUGGUGCUGCGGCGGGGCGUGCUGCGGGACGGCGAGGGAUACACCUUCACGCUGACGGUGCUGGGCCGCUCUGGCGAGGAGGAGGGCUGCGCCUCCAUCCCCCUGUCCCCCAACCGCCCGCCGCUGGGGGGCUCUUGCUGCCUCUUCCCACUGGGCGCUGUGCACGCUCUCACCACCAAGGUGCACUUCGAAUGCAUGGGCUGGCAUGACGCGGAGGAUGCUGGCGCCCCGCUGGUGUACGCCCUGCUGCUGCAGCGCUGUCGCCAGGGCCACUGCGAGGAGUUCUGUGUCUACAAGGGCAGCCUCUCCGGCUACGGAGCCGUGCUGCCCCCGGGUUUCAGGCCACACUUCGAGGUGGGCCUGGCCGUGGUGGUGCAGGACCAGCUGGGAGCCGCUGUGGUCGCCCUCAACAGGUCUCUGGCCAUCACCCUCCCAGAGCCCAACGGCAGCGCAAUGGGGCUCACAGUCUGGCUGCACGGGCUCACCGCUAGUGUGCUCCCGGGGCUGCUGCGGCAGGCCGAUCCCCAGCACGUCAUCGAGUACUCGCUGGCCCUGGUCACUGUGCUGAACGAGUACGAGCGGGCCCUGGACGUGGCGGCAGAGCCCAAGCACGAGCGGCAGCGCCGAGCCCAGAUACGCAAGAACAUCACGGAGACUCUGGUGUCCCUGAGGGUCCACACUGUGGAUGACAUCCAGCAGAUCGCUGCUGCGCUGGCCCAGUGCAUGGGGCCCAGCAGGGAGCUCGUAUGCCGCUCGUGCCUGAAGCAGACGCUGCACAAGCUGGAGGCCAUGAUGCGCAUCCUGCAGGCAGAGACCACCGCGGGCACCGUGACGCCCACCGCCAUCGGAGACAGCAUCCUCAACAUCACAGGAGACCUCAUCCACCUGGCCAGCUCAGACGUGCGGGCACCACAGCGCUCAGAGCUGGGAGCCGAGUCACCAUCGCGGAUGGUGGCGUCCCAGGCCUACAACCUGACCUCUGCCCUCACGCCCAUCGUCACGCGCUCCCGCGUGCUCAACGAGGAGCCCCUGACGCUGGCGGGUGAGGAGAUCGUGGCCCAGGGCAAGCGCUCGGACCCGCGGAGCCUGCUGUGCUAUGGCGGCGCCCCAGGGCCUGGCUGCCACUUCUCCAUCCCCUAGGCUUUCAGCAGGGCCCCGGCCAACCUCAGUGACGUGGUGCAGCUCAUCUUUCUGGUGGACUCCAAUCCCUUUCCCUUUGGCUAUAUCAGCAACUACACCGUCUCCACCAAGGUGGCCUCGAUGGCGUUCCAGACACAGGCCGGCGCCCAGAUCCCCAUCGAGCGGCUGGCCUCAGAGCGCGCCUCACCGUGAAGGCCGCUACCUGUCUGAGGAACCCGAGCCCUACCUGGCAGUCUACCUGCACUCGGAGCCCCGGCCCAAUGAGCGCAACUGCUCGGCUAGCAGGAGGAUCCGCCCAGAGUCCCUCCAGGGUGCCGACCACCGGCCCUACACCUUCUUCAUUUCCCCGGGGACCAGAGACCCAGUGGGGAGUUACCGUCUGAACCUCUCCAGCCACUUCCGCUGGUCGGCGCUGGAGGUGUCCGUGGGCUUGUACACGUCCCUGUGCCAGUACUUCAGCGAGGAGGACGUGGUGUGGCGGACAGAGGGGCUGCUGCCCCUGGAGGAGACCUCGCCCCGCCAGGCCGUCUGCCUCACCCGCCACCUCACCGCCUUCGGCACCAGCCUCUUCAUGCCCCCAAGCCAUGUACGCUUUGUGUUUCCUGAGCCAACAGCGGAUGUAAACUACAUCGUCAUGCUGACAUGUGCUGUGUGCCUGGUGACCUACAUGGUCAUGGCCGCCAUCCUGCACAAGCUGGACCAGUUGGAUGCCAGCCGGGGCUGCGCCAUCCCCUUCUGUGGGCAGCGGGGCCGCUUCAAGUACGAGAUCCUCGUCAAGACAGGCUGGGGCCGGGGCUCAGGUACCACGGCCCACGUGGGCAUCAUGCUGUAUGGGGUGGACAGCCGGAGCGGCCACCGGCACCUGGACGGCGACAGAGCCUUCCACCGCAACAGUCUGGACAUCUUCCAGAUCGCCACCCCGCACAGCCUGGGUAGCAUGUGGAAGAUCCGAGUGUGGCACGACAACAAAGGGCUCAGCCCUGCCUGGUUCCUGCAGCACAUCAUCGUCAGGGACCUGCAGACGGCACGCAGCACCUUCUUCCUGGUCAAUGACUGGCUUUCGGUGGAGACGGAGGCCAACGGGGGCCUGGUGGAGAAGGAGGUGCUGGCCGCGAGUCACGCAGCCCUGUUGCGCUUCCGGCGCCUGCUGGUGGCUGAGCUGCAGCGUGGCUUCUUUGACAAGCACAUCUGGCUCUCCAUAUGGGACCGGCCGCCUCGGAGCUGUUUCACUCGCAUCCAGAGGGCCACCUGCUGCGUUCUCCUCAUCUGUCUCUUCCUGGGCGCCAACGCCGUGUGGUACGGGGCUGUUGGAGACUCUGCCUACAGCACGGGGCGUGUGUCCAGGCUGAACCCGCUGAGCGUCGACACAGUCGCUGUUGGCCUGGUGUCCAGCGUGGUUGUCUAUCCCGUCUACCUGGCCAUCCUCUUUCUCUUCCGGAUGUCCCGGAGCAAGGUGGCUGGGAGCCCGAGCCCCACACCUGCCGGGCAGCAGGUGCUGGACGUCGACAGCUGCCUGGACUCAUCCGUGCUGGACAGCUCCUUCCUCACGUUCUCAGGCCUCCACGCUGAGGUGAGGGCUCUACUGGGGGUCCUGCCGCCUUGGCGCAGCUUGGACUCAAGACCCUGUGCACCUCUCAGCAGGCCUUUGCUGGACAGAUGAAGAGUGACUUGUUUCUGGAUGAUUCUAAGAGGUUAUCAAUACUCUGGCUGACCAUCGUCAUCGUGGGACUGACUUUGGUGGAAGUCCUUGGUUACUUAUCAUUACUGUGUUUCUGAGAAGUUAUAAAUUUGCCAUCUCCCUCUGCACAAGUUACCUUUGUGUGUCUUUCCUGAAGACUAUCUUCCCGUCUCAAAAUGGACAUGAUGGAUCCACGGAUGUACAGCAGAGAGCCAGGAGGUCCAACUGCCGUAGACAGGAAGGAAUUAAAAUUGUCCUGGAAGACAUCUUUACUUUAUGGAGACAGGUGGAAACCAAAGUUCGAGCUAAAAUCCGUAAGAUGAAGGUGACAACAAAAGUCAACCGUCAUGACAAAAUCAAUGGAAAGAGGAAGACCGCCAAAGAACAUCUGAGGAAACUAAGCAUGAAAGAACGUGAGCACGGAGAAAAGGAGAGGCAGGUGUCAGAGGCAGAGGAAAAUGGGAAAUUGGAUAUGAAAGAAAUACACACCUACAUGGAAAUGUUUCAACGUGCGCAAGCGUUGCGGCGGCGGGCAGAGGACUACUACAGAUGCAAAAUCACCCCUUCUGCAAGAAAGCCUCUUUGCAACCGGGUCAGAAUGGCGGCAGUGGAGCAUCGUCAUUCUUCAGGAUUGCCCUACUGGCCCUACCUCACAGCUGAAACUUUAAAAAACAGGAUGGGCCACCAGCCACCUCCUCCAACUCAACAACAUUCUAUAAUUGAUAACUCCCUGAGCCUCAAGACACCUUCCGAGUGUGUGCUCUAUCCCCUUCCACCCUCAGCGGAUGAUAAUCUCAAGACACCUCCCGAGUGUCUGCUCACUCCCCUUCCACCCUCAGCUCUACCCUCAGCGGAUGAUAAUCUCAAGACACCUGCCGAGUGCCUGCUCUAUCCCCUUCCACCCUCAGCGGAUGAUAAUCUCAAGACACCUCCCGAGUGUCUGCUCACUCCCCUUCCACCCUCAGCUCCACCCUCAGCGGAUGAUAAUCUCAAGACACCUCCUGAGUGUGUCUGCUCACUCCCCUUCCACCCUCAGCGGAUGAUAAUCUCAAGAAACUAAGGAAGAAUAAAUAAAUAAUAUAAAAAUAAAAUGAAUACUGCAGUCCUUA
RNAcentral lists this long non-coding RNA (7661 nucleotides) under Homo sapiens (human). RNAcentral describes it as "PKD1P1-NPIPA5L readthrough, transcript variant 3 (LOC131696449)". Lineage: Eukaryota; Metazoa; Chordata; Mammalia; Primates; Hominidae. The record is from RNAcentral.